RNAcentral lists this transfer RNA (59 nucleotides) under Neodon leucurus (Blyth's vole). Its description in RNAcentral is "tRNA-Ser". The record is from RNAcentral. Lineage: Eukaryota; Metazoa; Chordata; Mammalia; Rodentia; Cricetidae.
AAGAAAGUAUGCAAGAGCUGCUAACUCAUGCCACCGUGCUUAGGCGCACGGCUUUCUUA